This 555-nucleotide long non-coding RNA is filed under the name Panax ginseng (ginseng). RNAcentral describes it as "long non-coding RNA (PGIN_LNC018948)". Lineage: Eukaryota; Viridiplantae; Streptophyta; Magnoliopsida; Apiales; Araliaceae. The record is from RNAcentral.
GUAAACACAAUCAACAGCGAAAGCUUGACGGCGGUUCCGUCGGGGGAUAGCUCAGGCGUGAGAAUUAGUACGUGUUCACAAGGUUAACAAUGGAGGAAUAUAUGGUCUAGUGUAUUGAGAGAAUUAAAAUCUCAGUUGUGUGUAUGGGAGAAUAUGAAUAAUCAAUAUAUGAGAGAACGUACCUCCAUACGAUGGCUUCCUUGCUAAGUUAUAUUACUUUUGCUUGGAUUAUUGUGCCACCCACUACUACCUGACACCCCCUCUGAUCUGAUGGACCCUGCCGACCAUAUCGGGUUUAUAUACUGCUUUUGGCCACUGUUUUCUCCCGCCAGCCGGUUAUGAUCCCAUCCACAUUAAUGCAUGGCAGGAGGAUUGGUCAACUGUCAUGCUUUUUCAUCAUCACAAGUCAAAGUAACAGAUAUUAAAAUAUCUAAUGGGUCGAUCCACUGGUCUGACCCGGUCCAAUAGAAUUAAAUAAAGUUGACACAAUAAAUGGGCUCAAAGAGUCCCAUGGCUUAAUAAUAAAAGCCCAAUAGAUUAUACUGAUAAAUGGGC